This 802-nucleotide ribosomal RNA is filed under the name uncultured bacterium. RNAcentral's name for it is "bacterial SSU rRNA". It matches the Rfam family "Bacterial small subunit ribosomal RNA", at positions 8 to 796 of the family's 1533-position model. The record is from RNAcentral.
AGAGUUUGAUCAUGGCUCAGGACGAACGCUGGCGGCGUGCUAACACAUGCAAGUCGUACGGGACUUGGGGGCAACUCCAAGUUCAGUGGCAGACGGGUGCGUAACACGUGAAGAACUUGUCCGGUGGCGGGGGAUAGCCGGCCCAACGGCCGGGUAAUACCGCGUACGCUCGCGUGACGGCAUCGUUGCGCGAGGAAAGCAGCCGCAAGGUUGCGCCGACGGAGAGCUUCGCGGCCUAUCAGCUAGUUGGCGGGGUAAUGGCCCACCAAGGCGACGACGGGUAGCUGGUCUGAGAGGAUGGCCAGCCACAUUGGGACUGAGACACGGCCCAGACUCCUACGGGAGGCAGCAGUGGGGAAUCUUGCGCAAUGGCCGCAAGGCUGACGCAGCGACGCCGCGUGUGGGAUGACGGCCUUCGGGUUGUAAACCACUGUCGGGAGGAACGAAUACUCGGCUUCGAAUAGGAGCCCGAGGGUGACGGUACCUCCAAAGGAAGCACCGGCUAACUCCGUGCCAGCAGCCGCGGUAAUACGGAGGGUGCGAGCGUUGUCCGGAAUCACUGGGCGUAAAGGGCGCGUAGGUGGCCCGUUAAGUGGCUGGUGAAAUCCCGGGGCUCAACUCCGGGGCUGCCGGUCAGACUGGCGAGCUAGAGCACGGUAGGGGCAGAUGGAAUUCCCGGUGUAGCGGUGGAAUGCGUAGAGAUCGGGAAGAAUACCAGUGGCGAAGGCGUUCUGCUGGGCCGUUGCUGACACUGAGGCGCGACAGCGUGGGGAGCAAACAGGAUUAGAUACCCUAGUAGUCC